Molecule: transfer RNA, 70 nt
Filed under: Marmota monax (woodchuck)
Lineage: Eukaryota; Metazoa; Chordata; Mammalia; Rodentia; Sciuridae
Description: tRNA.Val
Rfam family: tRNA
About the family: Transfer RNA (tRNA) molecules are approximately 80 nucleotides in length. Their secondary structure includes four short double-helical elements and three loops (D, anti-codon, and T loops).
Source: RNAcentral
GGGGUUGUGGCUCAGUGGUAGAGCAUUCACCUCACACGUGUAAGCCCAGGGUUCGAUCCUCAGCACCACA